GACGAACGCUGGCGGCGUGCUUAACACAUGCAAGUCUACGAGAUAAGGGUAGCAAUACCCUGUGUAAAGUGGCGCACGGGUGAGUAACACGUAAGCAAUCUACCUUUAGGUCUGGAAUAACCCCGAGAAAUCGGGGCUAAUACCGGAUGAUGCAGCGGCACCGCAUGGUGAUGUUGUUAAAGUUCAUGAAACGCCUAGAGAUGAGCUUGCGUCUGAUUAGCUAGUUGGUGAGGUAACGGCCCACCAAGGCUACGAUCAGUAACUGGUCUGAGAGGAUGAUCAGUCACACUGGAACUGAGACACGGUCCAGACUCCUACGGGUGGCAG
Molecule: ribosomal RNA, 327 nt
Filed under: uncultured Chlorobiota bacterium
Lineage: Bacteria; Pseudomonadati; Chlorobiota
Description: bacterial SSU rRNA
Rfam family: Bacterial small subunit ribosomal RNA
Source: RNAcentral